Molecule: long non-coding RNA, 5929 nt
Filed under: Canis lupus familiaris (dog)
Lineage: Eukaryota; Metazoa; Chordata; Mammalia; Carnivora; Canidae
Description: lncRNA (ENSCAFG00845011868.1)
Source: RNAcentral
UUUUUUUUUUUUUUUAAUUUUUUUUUUUAAUUUUUUAUUUAUUUAUGAUAGUCACAGAGAGAGAGAGAGAGGCAGAGACAUAGCCAGAGGGAGAAGCAGGCUCCAUGCACCGGGAGCCCGACGUGGGAUUCGAUCCCGGGUCUCCAGGAUCUCGCGCUGGGCCAAAGGCAGGCGCUAAACCACUGUGCCACCCAGGGAUCCCCUUGUUCCUGAUCUUGAUGUCCAUGUACACCUGAGGAUUUGACUGGGCCUUUUUGGCAGCGGGCUCUCCCUGGGCGCAGAAAUCAUUAGUUUGGAGAGCACUCUGACUCCCCAGGUAGGAGAGCGAGCUUUUUUUUUUUUAAGUUUUAUUUUUAUUUAAGUGACCUCUACACCCAACAUGGGGCUUGAACUCCCAACGCCGAGAUCGAGAGUUGCAGGCUCUACUAACGGAGUCUGCCAGGCGGCCCAGGAGACCGAGUUCUCUGAACACACACCAAGGACCCAAAUGCAGCAAGCGGGCUGUGGCAGGUGCUGAUGGGGAAGGCCCUGGGCCGUGGAAGGGCAGGCGGAAGGCAGAGGCCAGGGCCCUGGUCCCCGGCCCGACCCCCAGUGACAGGAACCCCCAGCACCGGCUACCUUGAGCCCCAUUCCACAGGCUCAGGACCUCAUCACACUCGCCCUGAGAUGCACCAGCACGCUGCACCCUGGACUACGGUCACACAACCACACCCUGGCCUGCAGUGUGCAGCUCUCCACACCUGCAGACCCCAGUUCAGAGACAUCUGGUGGCUUAGUCGGUUAAGCGUCUGCCUUCGGCUCAGGUCAUGAUCCCACGUCCUGGGAUAGAGCCCCGUGUCAGGCUCCCUGCUCAAUAGGCAGUCUGCUUCUCCCUCUCCCUUUGCUGUUCCUCAUGCUUAUAUGCUCUGUCAAAUAAAUAAAUAAGAUUAAAAAAAAACAAAAACAAAAACCAACAACCAACCCCAGUUCAAGCCCACCCACCUUACUCAUGUCACAGGGACCCAUAACCUUCUCCAUCUAUGCCACCCCCUACAGAUUCAUAGCCGGGCUGCAGUGAAAGCAGAAACAGCUGCCUUCUGACUCAGGCCAAGUGCCCAGAAGACAGUGAGGGGGUCGGGCCUUGCUUUGUGCUCCACGCAGACUAGGGUGACUAGCUGAUACAUUCAGAACAAACCCAUUUGUUUGCUAAAGAAAACUACUGUCUCUGACCUACCUGUGGUGUGGAUUAAUUGGUCAAUGUGUGCACGCUGAGCUUUCAGGCCAAGUGCUGGAGAUGUUAAGUAAGGUCCCUGAGGAGCUGGCGAUCCAGCGGCAAAGGUGGGGGAGGGGAGAAGGGAGGUCGGCCACCAAUGCGAGAGGCACACGGACCCCAGUGGCAGGCACACAGCCUUCGUUCCAAUCUUGGCUCCACCCUUCUGAGCCGCAUGAUGUUGGACAGGUUACUUGAUCGCCCGGUGCUCAGUUUUGUCACCUCGAGUUGGAGACAGUUAUUAGUACUUAGCUCAAAGGAUUAUUGUUAGGAUUCAAUAUUUGUAAAGCACUUAGAGUCAGCAACAUGUAAACAUUUUUAAAUAAAUAAUGUCAAAAUAAUGCCAUAAAAUGCCAGGACUGAGGUUGCCACAGGAGCCCAGAGGCCACAAAAGCCCAGAAGGGACCCUUAUCUCACUUCACUGGAGGAGUCAGAAAAGUUCCCUGCAGAAGGCAGCAGCUGAGCUCAGCUAUAAAAGCUGAGUAGGAGUUAGCGAGAGAAAGUCAGUUGGAAAGGGAAUUUAGGCCAAGGGACUGCAUGUGUGAAAACACAGAGAUUUAUACCUACAAACUUUAUUCUAGAAUGCAAACUAGGGAUACAGUGUGGAGAGAUGAGUGGGGUCCAAACAUGGAAAGCCCCUCUGUCCCCCACUACAGAUGAGGCACCCCUAGGCUGCUUGAGGAGAGCCACGUGGUCAACUCUGUGCCUUAGAAAGCUCCCUCUGGCUGCUCAGGAUAGGAGGAAGCAGGUCUGGGGCAGGGAGACCAGCUAUUUGUAGGAGAGACGACAGAGGCUACACCAGGCUACUGUGGCGGAAGCAAUCAGGAGAGCAGAGAUUCAGGCAGAUGUAAAGUAGAACACUGCAGGAUAUGGCAAUGCAGUAGGUGUGGGUUGUGAUGAGGACCGGAGAGGUCAUGAAAGUCCCUGGGUUGGGUGACUGUGGAAGAUGGCAAAGUUCAUUAAGAUCGGGUCCUCAGGAUGACCAGAGCGGAAGGAGAGAGGAAAUCCACUUGGGACGUGCUAUGUUGAUUUAUGGUGCCUGGAAGACAUGCAGGCAGGAACACAUGAAAUUCAGGAGAGAGGUCAAGGCUGGCCCCCUAGAGAUCCGGAAGUCAGCACAAGGCUGAGUGGCUGUGAUAAGCUCAGACACUGGCCAAGUGGCCGAAACUGCAAGGACAGCGUGCAGAGACGAGCCAAGGGCUAAGGGAGGAACUCAGAGAAACACUGUUGCUCUAAAGGUGGACAGACGAGCAGCUUGGCUAACCCCAGAAGCAACGUGACUGUGGGGUAUGGAGAAGCAGGAGAAAGUGCUGGCACCUGGGUCCAUCUGAGGGGCUGGGGCUCCCCGGAAUCAGGCCAGGAAUAGGAAGAGUGUGAGCCUGAUACCAAAGUCUUCACAGUGAUAGUGCAGGAAAGGUCAGGAGGAUGCGGGAUGCCAGCGAGGGGGCGUCCUCACUGUUCCUUCACAUCUCAGACCCCCACCUAGUUUGAGCAAUCUCAAGUUGGGACCCAAGCAUGCUGGAGGAUACUUCUCAUCUCAAGCCCCACACGGAUAGAGAAGCAGGCUUCUCCGUUCACCUCACCCAUCGCCACCCACAUCUAAGUGCCCUGUGGGGAAAGUACCAGCCCCUCCUGGGGAAGCGCAGGCCUUCGAUCUCACCCCCUGGGUUUCCACUUUGGGAGGCUCCAUUCCUUCCUCCUCUUUAUUCUUUUCAAAGAGUCUUCCCAGAAAUCUUCACCAGUAAUCAUCUGACCACACUGAAAGGCAGAGAAUUGAACAAAUGCUAAGAAAUUCAAGCUACCGGCCACCUGCCCCCUGACUGUACUUAGUUCUUUGCAGCUGUCAGCCACGUGGACGCCCCAUGGGGCUCUCACAGGCAGAAGUUGUCUCUGAGGACAAGGGACGCUGCCACUGGGAAACGUUAGGCCUUCAGGUCCAGCUCUUGGCAGACACAGAUGGCAAAACAGAGGAGGACCAAGCCGAGCCAAAAGGGAAGUCCCAGCCACUGUCGGGGCUGGACAGGCCCAGUCUGCGUCUACGGCCCAGAGCAAGACUUUAUGGGGACAGUGGCUCUAGCUUUGUGGAGAAUCUCAAACUCUCUUUCCACAGAGGUGCUGCACUCUCUUCCCCACUCUACAGCUAACUGUGAACACUACUGCAGAAGUGAGACAGGGAUAAAAAAGCAACAGAGGCCAAAGUUGAGGAUGUGAUGAGGCAUCUGCGGUGCCCCCACUCACCUGGUCUGGAUGAGCCUCCCUCAGUUCUCACUGGGUUGGCUAAACGGACACGAACUGUCCGCCCAAAGAGUUCAGAGCCAUCCUGCAAUACAACUUAGCUGCUUAAACCUCAUUUAGGUUAAAAAAAAGAUUUUUACUUCUAAGAAGUCUGAGCCCUGCUCAUGAUUAAGUCUGAGCCCACACCCCCCAAUAGCAAGCUAAGCACAAAGCUAAUCAUCAAAUGUCCCUGAGCCACUGCACACUUCUUUCAACACCAACAGGAAAUUCUGUGCUGGCAUGAUCUUCGGAUCUGAGCUCAGAACUCUGAAAUAAUAAGUAUAAAUGCAGUGACCGUGUAUUGAGUCCACUUUAAAAAAUCAAGACCAACACUAAAUGAGAGAGAGAGAGUAUUGCUGGCUGGUGGGACCAUGUUUGCUGAAAAAGUAAUAAAGGACUAUUUUAUUAUCCAAGAAUAACUGAUCUAGCGAAAGGGAAGUAGAUUUUUUUAAAAAGGUUUCUUUGGGACCUUUUCAUGAAAACUAAAAAAAUAUGAAAGACGAUUUCUUAAUUUAGUAAGAUAUAGGUUAUAAUUAUAGCUAUGCUCUUGUUCUUAGAAACAGAUGGCCAAAAUACUAAUUUUACUGCUAGCAAUUAAGAAAAAAAAUUGAACCAUAGCACGAAAUAUCCUUAUUUCACAUUUAGUCAUAAAGAUCAUAAGGAAAAAAAAAAAAAGAUUGAUCACGAAGAUUUAAAAAGAAAAGUGGGGGGGGGGGGGGGGGGGGGGCGCGGAGUGGAAACAAAUUUAAGAGUUCUGUUGCAGGCAAAAUGAUGGUCCCCUCAAAGAUGUUCACAUCCCAUUCCCCAGAACCUAUGAAUAUGAAGAAUUACACAGCAAGAAGGAAGGAAAGUUGCAGAUGGAAUUAAGGUCGCUGGUCUGCUGACCUUAAAAUAAAGAUGUCGUACUGGAUUAUUCAGAUGUGCCCAGUGUAAUCACAAGGGUCCUCUAAAUGUGCAGAGGGUAGGAGAGUCGGGUUCAGAAUGAUACCGUGUGAGAAAGACUCACCUGGCCAUGGCUGGCUUGAAGAUAGAAGGGAUCGGAAGCCAAGGAAUGAGGUCAAUCUCUAGGAGUUGGAAAACACAAACAGACUCUCCCUUAGAGCCUCCACGAGGAAUGGAGCCUUGCUCACACAGCGAGAACCCACUUUGGACUUCUGACCUCUAGAGCUGCAAGAUAACGCAUUUGUGGUGUUUUUUAAAGCCACUGACUUGGGGGCACCUGGAUGGGUCAGUGGUUGAGCAUCUUCCUUCAGCCCAGGGCGUGACCCCAGGGUCCCAGGAUCAAGAUCACGACUGGGCUGAAGGCAGGUGCCAAACCGCUUAGCCACCCAGGGAUCCCCACCAUGACUGGAAUCCUUAAAAGUAGAGGAGACACAUGCAGGGAACAAGGCCAUAUGAAAACAGGACAAAGAGGGGGCUGAUGCAGUUACAGGCCAGAGAAUGCCAAGGAUUGCCAGGAGCCAGGAAGAGCUGGGAGGAAAGGAUUCUUCCCUAGGGCCUUCAGAGGGAGCAUGGACCUGCCAUGUUCUUGAUUUAGGACUUCUAGCCUCCAGAGCUAGAAGAGCUACGGGAAUGAAUUUCUGUGGUGCUAAGCCACCGAGUUUGUGGUGAUUUGUUAGGGCAGCCCCAGGAAUCCACUGCAUCUAUCCAAAUGGAGAAUAGCACCUUUGGUACCCGACGACAAUAGUGACACUUGACACUUGUCAAGGGUGGCUCAGUCAGUUAAGCAUCUGCCGUCAGCUCAUGAUCCUGGGGUCCUUGGAAUGAGCACCCAAGUCAGGCUCCCUGCCUCUCCUCCCUGGUUAUGCACUCUCUCACUAUCUCUGUUUGCUAUUUCGGUCUCUAAUAAAAUCUUUAAAAAAAAAAAAAAAAAGGCAACACUAGUCAAAUACUAAACAAGGAAAAUUUCUUACAUCUGCCAACUCAAAUACAAUAAAAGCAAAUCCUCGGUGCUUUUCUACAAUAGCAGAAGUAGGUCACCAGUGUGUGAGCAAUAGUUAGAGACCAUAUCCAGAUGCCCUUUAAAGAAUGAAAAUCUAAUUUUUAGAGACUUCCACUUUGUCACUUUGUUUUAAAUAAACAUAACUAAACAAUGAAGUGAAUUUUUAAACUUUGUAGUAUCCAAGUCUACCACCACAGAAUCUAAGCCUUAAGUUACUUUCCGAGCAUGUGAAUAACUUUUGUUUAUAAGACUUACGAAGAGUAGACAACGUUGUUUAUCAAUUAUUCACUCCAACUGAGUACCAGAUGAGUACAGAGCACUGACCCCACUGAGUUAGGUGACUCAUAGGGAAGGCAGCCUGGUGCUUGUCCUCAGGAAAACACGUUAGCUGGCAGGGAGCGAGAAAAACAGGAGGUAAUAAUUUUUAGAAUUCAGGGAUAGUAGAGGCCCCAAGAGCCAGUCUU